RNAcentral lists this ribosomal RNA (324 nucleotides) under uncultured bacterium. RNAcentral describes it as "bacterial SSU rRNA". It matches the Rfam family "Bacterial small subunit ribosomal RNA", at positions 28 to 334 of the family's 1533-position model. The record is from RNAcentral.
GAUGAACGCUGGCGGCGUGCCUAACACAUGCAAGUCGAGCGAAGCAUUUUAAAGGAAGUUUUCGGAUGGAAUUUGAAAUGACUGAGCGGCGGACGGGUGAGUAACGCGUGGGUAACCUGCCUCAUACAGGGGGAUAACAGUUAGAAAUGACUGCUAAUACCGCAUAAGCACACAGUACCGCAUGGUACAGUGUGAAAAACUCCGGUGGUAUGAGAUGGACCUGCGUCUGAUUAGCUAGUUGGUGGGGUAACGGCCUACCAAGGCGAUGAUCAGUAGCCGGUCUGAGAGGAUGAACGGCCACAUUGGGACUGAGACACGGCCCAG